AGAGUUUGAUCCUGGCUCAGAACGAACGCUGGCGGCGUGCCUAACACAUGCAAGUCGAGCGAGAAAGGGACUUCGGUCCUGAGUAAAGCGGCGCACGGGUGCGUAACACGUGGGUAAUCUUCCUCCGGGUUGGGAAUAACCCUUCGAAAGGAGGGCUAAUACCGAAUCAGCCCACGAUCUCCUCGGAGAUUGAGGGAAAA
This 200-nucleotide ribosomal RNA is filed under the name uncultured bacterium. Its description in RNAcentral is "partial 16S ribosomal RNA". It matches the Rfam family "Bacterial small subunit ribosomal RNA", at positions 8 to 205 of the family's 1533-position model. The record is from RNAcentral.